Long non-coding RNA from Nematostella vectensis (starlet sea anemone), 1315 nucleotides. RefSeq lists it as uncharacterized. The record is from RefSeq and is a predicted model, not a curated record. Lineage: Eukaryota; Metazoa; Cnidaria; Anthozoa; Actiniaria; Edwardsiidae. The transcript has 3 exons.
GGCCUGUUUCAAAAUGGCGGCCUACAAAAUCGCAACGGUAGACACGAAUUUUUGCAAGUUUACGUGGAAAUUCUCGACGUACACGGCCCUAGGGCGACAAAAAAGCGAGAAAAUAAUUGAAGCAGACUUCAUAUACGCGUCAUGCAAGAAAUUUCUUCUUACAGCGUCACGCAAGAAAUUUAUUCUAUAAACGUUACGCAAAAAGCUUCGUCUAACAGCGUCACACAAGAAAAUUCUUCUACCAUUGUCACCCCAGAAACUUCUUCUAACAGGGUCACGCAAAUAACUUCUUCUAACAUCGUCACGCAAGAAACUUCAUAGAAUUUGAGUUUAAAGAUGUUGUAAAAAGAAUGAUUUUAAUUGAAAGGUAGCUUAGGCUGUCAUUCAAAGUGUGUGACAGGUCAUUGCACGACCAUAUGGUUUGUCAUGAGGCGGAAUUUCGCUACCUGAGUGACAGAGUUAUCAGCCCCAUUUAUUCUCCUAUUGCGUGACAGUGGUCAAAUGCCCGAUACCAUAGAAUGCGUGAGCCGCAUCAUGCGAUUCAAGAUGCGUGACACACAUGUGUCAUCCAGUGGACAACCGUCAUGACAUAUGGCAUAAAUGUUGUGAGAUUAUAAAAGGAGAUGAAGGGUGGAGUGAAAUAGAAAAAGAUGUAUAAAAUGGUAUAGGAUGGAGAUUUGUGGUCUAUGGCCUUUGCUCCUCCAGUAAGAAGGCGAUGAUCCUCCUCACCAGCAAUGCUACGUAUAAUCGACACUCUGUACAAUAUUAACAGUUGUUUUAAAGUUUUUCGCCAACCAUAGGAGGUGGGAAGAUAUCAUCCCUUAUAUAACAGUUUAGCACAUGGCUUUGCUUAUGUUCCCUUGUCUGCCACAUCUUUUGUAUUCCAUAUUGAAAGAUAAAUCAUGUAAAGAAAUCUCGAAACAACGAUCUAAAAACAAAGGUUUAUAUUCCAUUUUAAGCAAAUUCAAUCGAUCACAAUAGUUCCCUCUAAAUCAGCCGAAGGAAAUGGACGCUAUCUCACACUUGGUAUUUUACUAGGAUGAAAAAAUGGCGGAUGACAGAUUUCUUUUAUAUUUUUUUUCUUAUGAGAUGAUUCCUGUUAUACACACUAUAUACACACGUUAUACAUUCGAGUAAUAUUCUCAAAUAAGCGUUACACUUUUACGGCACUUUUAAGGCACCCCGGAACAUUUUUUUCACACUACCCUACUAAGGGGUGAAGCUCUAGUAAUUUUUUUGCAACCCUUAUGGCAUCACUCUAUUUGUGUAAUAUAAAAAAAUCAAUGAAAUAAUAAAUCAAAUCGCCCGUGACCUA